Myotis brandtii (Brandt's bat) is the source of this 192-nucleotide long non-coding RNA. RefSeq lists it as uncharacterized. Lineage: Eukaryota; Metazoa; Chordata; Mammalia; Chiroptera; Vespertilionidae. The record is from RefSeq and is a predicted model, not a curated record. The transcript is spliced from 3 exons.
UUGAAUACCACUCCCACCUGCAGAAAAUUGGCAACAUCUCCCAGGAGCCCUUGCUUUUUCCCUGGACCCUGGCAUCAUGGUUUCCAAUUUCAUGGGUUUUCUCAGAGUCCUGGGUUACCUGCUGCUGUUAGGAUUCCAGCUCAUCGGCUCACAUCCUUCCACUGAACACAGAAAGGUCCCUCAGCGGAUGGC